This 198-nucleotide small nuclear RNA is filed under the name Rattus norvegicus (Norway rat). Its description in RNAcentral is "7SK RNA". It matches the Rfam family "7SK RNA", at positions 1 to 199 of the family's 331-position model. From Rfam's summary of the family: 7SK was discovered as an abundant small nuclear RNA in the mid-70s but a possible function has only recently been suggested. Two independent studies have found that 7SK RNA binds the CDK9/cyclin T complex (known as elongation factor P-TEFb). P-TEFb activates transcription by phosphorylating the C-terminal domain of RNA polymerase II. Lineage: Eukaryota; Metazoa; Chordata; Mammalia; Rodentia; Muridae. The record is from Rfam by way of RNAcentral.
GGAUGUGAGUAUUCUGGCUUUGAUCUAUUACCCUAAGACUAUCAUGGUUGAUUUGGUUGAUCUGAUUAACUAGGUAGAUCUGACCCUUUUUCCUUUACGAUUUCAUGUGUGUCCUUCCCGAAGCUGUAAACUUUUGUUAGAGAAAGAUGACUUUCUUCAAAGGAUGAAGAGCGGUUUUCAAGUCAAGGGAACAUGGAU